CCUACGGGAGGCAGCAGUGGGGAAUAUUGCACAAUGGGGGAAACCCUGAUGCAGCGACGCCGCGUGAGUGAAGAAGUAAUUCGUUAUGUACAGCUCUAUCAGCAGGGAAGAAUAUGACGGUACCUGUGUAAGAAGCCCCGGCUAACUACGUGCCAGCAGCCGCGGUAAUACGUAGGGGGCAAGCGUUAUCCGGAUUUACUGGGUGUAAAGGGAGCGUAGACGGCAGUGCAAGUCUGGAGUGAAAGGCGGGGGCUCAACCCCCGGACUGCUCUGGAAACUGUACGGCUGGAGUGCAGGAGAGGUAAGUGGAAUUCCUAGUGUAGCGGUGAAAUGAGUAGAGAUUAGGAGGAACACCAGUGGCGAAGGCGGUUUACUGGACUGUAACUGACGUUGAGGCUCGAAAGCGUGGGGAGCAAACAGGAUUAGAUACCCCAGUAGUC
Molecule: ribosomal RNA, 440 nt
Filed under: uncultured bacterium
Lineage: Bacteria
Description: partial 16S ribosomal RNA
Rfam family: Bacterial small subunit ribosomal RNA
Source: RNAcentral